RNAcentral lists this ribosomal RNA (253 nucleotides) under uncultured bacterium. Its description in RNAcentral is "partial 16S ribosomal RNA". It matches the Rfam family "Bacterial small subunit ribosomal RNA", at positions 524 to 776 of the family's 1533-position model. The record is from RNAcentral.
UACGUAGGGUGCAAGCGUUGUCCGGAAUUAUUGGGCGUAAAGAGCUCGUAGGCGGUUUGUCGCGUCUGCUGUGAAAACUCGGGGCUUAACCCCGGGCCUGCAGUCGAUACGGGCAGGCUAGAGUUCGGUAGGGGAGACUGGAAUUCCUGGUGUAGCGGUGAAAUGCGCAGAUAUCAGGAGGAACACCGGUGGCGAAGGCGGGUCUCUGGGCCGAUACUGACGCUGAUGAGCGAAAGCCAGGGGAGCAAACGGG